CUAUUGGAGAGUUUGAUCCUGGCUCAGGACGAACGCUGGCGGCGUGCUUAACACAUGCAAGUCAAGGGGGCCCAGCAAUGGGCAACCGGCGAACGGGUGCGUAACACGUGAGCAACCUACCGAACUGUGGGGGAUAGCCGGCCUAACGGCCGAGUAAUACCGCAUACGCUUUCAGUGAGGC
Molecule: ribosomal RNA, 181 nt
Filed under: Gemmatimonadota bacterium
Lineage: Bacteria; Pseudomonadati; Gemmatimonadota
Description: partial 16S ribosomal RNA
Rfam family: Bacterial small subunit ribosomal RNA
Source: RNAcentral